Molecule: long non-coding RNA, 755 nt
Organism: Culex pipiens pallens (northern house mosquito)
Lineage: Eukaryota; Metazoa; Arthropoda; Insecta; Diptera; Culicidae
Exons: 2
Source: RefSeq, a predicted model, not a curated record
CAAUUGUCAGUUUUUCGUAAGUGGUGGUUCAAAGGGUUAAACUUCAAACGCAAAAUGUUCAUAUCUGGCAACACUGUACAUAAAUUUGGAGUUCGCUUUUGCCGCCGCCGAAACGGUUUUUCUUUGGGUGUGUAAGUGAGGCGACCUUAUACAAAGCCAAGUCAAACGUGUUUAAUCCUGAAAGUUUUCGCGAACGCAGUCAGAAUAGUUUUUAAACAGUUUUUUCGGAAAUUUCAAAGAGUCCGCUUGCAAAAAUACUAUCGCGACAUCAACCUGUGUCCGCAUCCGCUGAGGGAGUCGUCACAAACAAUCGGAGACGAACGGCCACGAUCAUCCGCGUGUGGACCAAACAAACAGACGGCGGUAACUCGGUGGCCACAAACGACGUCGACAUGGCACCGGCAAUUGCAAAGGAGUCCGCUCCUCUAACAGAUUCGAUGAAAAGGGGCGACCCAUUUUCUACGGAUGAAGUUCGAAAACUGCCGAGGAAGGUUAAGAGGAACGCCGCGUUCAGAGAUUCCACGAUCCUCAGCGUGUGCUAUCCGGCAUAAUUCACGACGACGCGGCCAGCUGACGUCGGCGAUUCGGUUGCUCACGGGUGCGGUAUCGAUUGCAGCAUCGGUUACACUUCUAGGCCUUGUGAAUUGUAAAUUUUGUUUUGUAAAAGUUGUGGAUUUUUAAAAAUAAAAAAAAAUGGGGAUUCACGGUGGAGUGGAGUGGGGAGUCUUAAUUUUGUAAAAAAAUCAUAUAAAAAG